RNAcentral lists this long non-coding RNA (4467 nucleotides) under Capra hircus (goat). RNAcentral's name for it is "lncRNA (ENSCHIG00010005323.1)". Lineage: Eukaryota; Metazoa; Chordata; Mammalia; Artiodactyla; Bovidae. The record is from RNAcentral.
CCACUCCAAUAUUCUUGCAGGGAGAAUCACAUGGACAGAGGAUUCUGGUUGGCUACAGUCCAUGAGAUCUCAAAGACUCAGACAAGACUGAGUGACGAACACUACUACUAUAAGCAAGGAACAAACCUUCCUGGUUUUAAGUCACUGAGCAUGGGUAUUAUUUGUUCCUACAACAUAAUUUCAGUUUGUCCGGGCUGUGUGAGGUCUGUGAGGGCUGUCAGCUUUUGCUAAUCUCUUUCCUGGGCACUUGAAGUCCUUUCUUUUUAUCCCCAAUUAUCAGCUGGGUGUUUCCACGAAUCAACAGAUGGACAGAUUGACCAGAAUAAGAGUGCAGUCCUGCUAGCUACUGGGGUCAUGAUGCUAUCCACUGCUCACUAACUCUGUUGACUGACUCAGCAUCACCUGUACUUCUACACCCUUGGGAUAUUGCUGAAUCUUCAGGCAGGUACCCUUUCUCCUUUCGCACAGUAUGCUGGUCCAUGAGGAGAGCUGGAAAGGGCAUUUGGCCAACAGACCACUACUUGUCACAGCUCUGCUGCUCAGAGACCAGCAGGGGUUCUUUAAAGAGUCCCAGAGAAGAGUACACAGGAUCAAGAGAAGGAGAAACCAGGAAGUAUCUGCUCUUCAAGGAGAGGCCGAGGACUCAUGGACCCUGAGGAUUGAGCGGUCAGCCCCUGUGCAGCCCAUCAAGACAGAGAGAAAACAGAUAACCAAAAAANNNNNNNNNNNNNNNNNNNNNNNNNNNNNNNNNNNNNNNNNNNNNNNNNNNNNNNNNNNNNNNNNNNNNNNNNNNNNNNNGGUUCAAUCCCUGGGUCAGGAAGAUCCCCUGGAGAAGGAAACCCACUCCAAUAUUCUUGCCUAGAGAAUCCCAUGGACAAAGGAGCAUGGUGUGCUAUAGUCCAUGGGGUCACUAAGGGUUGGACAUGACUGAGGGGAGUUAGCAUGCAUGCAUGAGAAAAAAUAUGAGGAGGCUGCAGGUUUUCCUAUAAUGAGCCUAGACUUCGGAGUUAAACUGCCUCUAACAUUGCCUAGCUGUUACCUUGGGCAAGUUACUUAACUUUUCUGAGCCAAACCUCUAACAUGAAGCUAAUGGUACUUUUCCUGCUAAGAUGGCAUAAAGAUUAGAAAAAACACACAAAGCACCCAGACAAUACCCAGCAGCACCUUGAUAAUGACAAGAGCCAAAGUCUGGGGAGCACUCACUAUGUUCUCAGGAGCUGGAAGCUCUUAGGUUAUUCUUCUUGGUCAGGGAAGCAAAUGGGUGUUACAGGUACAAACGCAGAUGGGUCUCUAACUUUGUGGCUCAGCUUUGAACAUUUCCCAGGAGACUUAAAGCCCCAGCAUCAUCUCAUGGUGGCAGGUGAUACAGAAGAGGGGAUGGAGAUGUACGUCAAAGGCCCAACUGUCUCCGAGCACCCCCAGGACCCUGGGGAGGACUCUGUGGCAUCCAGAGAUCAAGCCCAGCCAUGCUUUGCUUCUGCAAUCACAAGGUGGAAUGGCCAGCAGCCAUGGGAGGGUUCUUCUUUUUCCGAAGUAUGUUUGCUGUAUAAACACAGUCAUAAAAGGAGAGCCAAGUGUCAGUGAUGGUGGGGGAGGCAGCGAUCCUAGUGAUGGCUGGCUGUGUCCAGCCAGCCCUGGUCAGCACGGGGGAGGAAAGGCCUUGCAGCCCAUCAGGCUGUCAGGCCGUACAGACCCUACUUUCUUCAACCUCCACUCCGCUGGAGCAAUUCAGAGAUACUUGGGGGAGGCGGAGACAACUGGGAGGAGGAAGAGGGGGCAGCCAGGGAGUCAUGCUAAACUGCUCCCAGGCUCCAAGGCCUUGCUAGACUCUGAAAAACAAUUCGGUUUCCACUUGUCAAUUGAUCCAUAAAAUGCAUCGCUUGGGUACUUAAGGAUGGUCCCCCUGGGGCUGCAUGUGUGUGAUGCAGAUUCAAAAGGAGAAUUACUGACCAUGGAGAUGGCUCCACCAGCAGCAGCCUGAAGGAGGAGCAGGGUGCUCAGAGCGCCGCUGGCCGUGUCUUCUUGGAGAGCNNNNNNNNNNNNNNNNNNNNNNNNNNNNNNNNNNNNNNNNNNNNNNNNNNNNNNNNNNNNNNNNNNNNNNNNNNNNNNNNNNNNNNNNNNNNNNNNNNNUCCACCAGCAGCAGCCUGAAGGAGGAGCAGGGUCAGAGCGCCGCUGGCCGUGUCUUCUUGGAGAGCGGCAAGUGAAAGACCGGAACAAUGAUUUUAAGCAACUCAAGCCUCUGCCCCUCAAAACAGGAACCACAACUUGGAAGGACUUACAUAAAUCAGGAAGAAGUAGGCAUAGGAGCUUGAAUGAUCAAAACAGCUGUCUCUACUCUCAGCAGUAUAUCAAGAAUUCCAGAAUUCUGUCUCUUACACCCCCUGGCCCUGCCUGCUCACUGCCCCCUACCCCCACCCCGCAUUGCCAUAACUUGUGGACUUCGAGCUUUCUUCCCCCAAAUCUCCAAGUUACCGGCAGCGCUAGCUACCUCACAUUCGAUCUCUAGCCCCUUCAAGCUCCACUUGCUUGGAGAAUUGUGGUUCUUCAAGGAGAGUGAGGAGUCAGGGGAGGGGGCAAGGCUUCCGGAGACAGCAUGCUAGGUUCUGAGGCUAAUUCAGAUAUACCGUACUCUGUCUGCUCAGAUGGAAAACUUACGACGCACAGCUGCGUUUCAACAAGCCCAGGGAUGAAGCCAUCCCGGGCCCCCGCAUAUUUUCCUUGGCCUCAGCACAGGCCGUUGACAUCAUUGCAGGCUUGGCCAUUCAUCCACUGCCAUUUGGAGCUUGUGGCUGCGCGAGGCUGUGUUCCAGGGUCUGGGGAGGGUCUAAUUGCAAACUGGGUGGUAGUAGGGAUGGAGGUGGUCCCACUGAGUUUGUGAAAACAAACAGAAAGGCACUGAGUCUUGCCUUUCCUCCCCUGGAACGGUGAGUGAAACGAACCCCAGCCCUCUCUACCCAGCACACACAGGCCCAAGCCAAGGCCAGCCCAGAGACCCAGAAGCCUUGGUUCUACCUGUGCUAUUUUGGGAAGUGAUGAUGAAUGUUCACCACAGGUAAGAAACUCAAGUGUUCCGGUAGCAAAUUCUAUCACAUCCUUCGAGACGUCACUGCGGCCGCUCUGGGCCCAUCUGCAUUCUCCUGCAAAUCCUGGGGAGCAGGAAAACCCUGUUAAUGGUUCCCAGAGGUCUCAGAAAAGAAAAUGGCAAGAGUAGGAAACGUGAGCAUUAGGAGAUAGGGAGUGUGCAUAGGUGCACGCACUGUAGGACCAUAAUUAUCUUUAGAAGACAGCUCUUCUAUAUGGGGGAUGCUGUAAAGGAGAGCCUUUUGCUGAGCUUCCCAGCUGCUGAAAAGCUCUCAGUUCUGCUGGCCUGGAGACCACUGGGGUAGCAGUCAAGACAGGAAGACUGUGAGGCAGGUUCGAGAGCUCAGGCAGAGAGCCCGUGACUUUUGCAAGUGUUGUUUCCAGGGUUCAGAAGGUGAGAUGUCAUGGGCACCAUGGGCACAGCUCUGGGUUUUGUCACUGAGAUAAAGUAUGGCUUAGUGACAGGCCUGCAGCCUCCAGAGGCUGUGAACAGAAUGUGAUCCUGGUUGAGGCCACACUUUAUUUUCUUUGCUCCUCAGGACCUGCUUUUCUGCACAGACUCACGANUGAACAGAAUGUGAUCCUGGUCGAGGCCAUACUUUAUUUUCUUUGCUCCUCAGGACCUGCUUUUCUGCACAGACUCACGAAUAGGAUCACUUCUUUCUCAAACAUCAUUUGACACAAAGUAUUUGAGGAGGGCGCUCAGCCCUCAGGAUGCUCAUCUGACUCAGAGCUGAAGGGGACCAGGGAUGCUCCUGGAAAUGUUUAACGGUCAGCUGGGGAAUGGUCCUCAGUUGUAGUAUCUGCUGAUUUCUGAGAUGUAAAUACCCCCAUCAAGGUCAACUUAAAGCUGCCAACUUUGGGGAGAUGAUUCAUUGACCUCCUGUAUUUCUGCACAUUUUGUGAGCAAAGGUACUUACAGUUUUUGUUCUGGAUUAUCUUAUUAAAGAUAUAGGUAUUCUCUCUCUUUCUGUCCCAAUGCUGGAAACACAGGACUUCAUGUCCCUAGAACAGGAGAGGAAGGCAAUAGAGAGAAUCCUGAUUUCUGAAUCCAUUCUCAUAGAGGAGCCACCCAGGAGAGCCAUCUGUCAAAACCAUCCACGUUAGACUCUUCAUGAAUGAGAAAUAAACCUUUCUCAUGGUAGGACACUGAUAUUUCAGGUUGUUGGUUAUGGUUCCCAGCACUACUUAUUCUAAUACAAGUCAUCACUAUCAUUACCUCUAUCUAUUGAUGAGAAAACUGAGGAUUUGGAGUAAUAGACUAGGGCUCACUACUUGUAAACAGUGCAUCCAGGACACAAACCUAGGCCUCUCUGCCUCCAGAGUUUGUUUUUUUUUUCUGCUUUGUCAUCUCUUCCCGGCAAAGGCCCACGUGAGGCAAAGGU